RNAcentral lists this unclassified non-coding RNA (321 nucleotides) under soil metagenome. RNAcentral describes it as "partial contains 5.8S ribosomal RNA, internal transcribed spacer 2, and large subunit ribosomal RNA". The stretch from base 1 to 120 matches the Rfam family "5.8S ribosomal RNA", at positions 35 to 154 of the family's 154-position model. The record is from RNAcentral.
GAUGAAGAACGCAGCGAAAUGCGAUAAGUAAUGCGAAUUGCAGAAUUCAGUGAGUCAUCGAAUCUUUGAACGCACAUUGCGCCCUGUGGUAUUCCGCAGGGCAUGCCUGUUCGAGCGUCAUUUCAACCCUCAAGCUCUGCUUGGUGUUGGGCCCUGCCCGCUGCGGCCGGCCCUAAAGACAGUGGCGGUGCCGCCUGGCCCUGAGCGUAGUACAUCUCUCGCUCCAGUGCCCGGUGGUAGCCUGCCAGAACCCCAACUCUCGUGGUUGACCUCGGAUCAGGUAGGGAUACCCGCUGAACUUAAGCAUAUCAAUAAGCGGAG